RNAcentral lists this microRNA (21 nucleotides) under Heliconius melpomene (postman butterfly). Its description in RNAcentral is "Hme-Mir-1000_3p* (star (passenger))". Lineage: Eukaryota; Metazoa; Arthropoda; Insecta; Lepidoptera; Nymphalidae. The record is from RNAcentral.
UGCUGUAGCCGGACAUGCCGG